RNAcentral lists this long non-coding RNA (29393 nucleotides) under Malus domestica (apple). The record is from RNAcentral. Lineage: Eukaryota; Viridiplantae; Streptophyta; Magnoliopsida; Rosales; Rosaceae.
UUUUUUUUUUUUUUUUUUACCUUUUUGCCCAAGAGGUAAAAAAGAAUUACGAGAGAGAGAGAGAGAGAGAGAGAGAGAUUUGUUGUGAACUUGUAGAAUGUUUUGGCAAGAAGCUGGGCUUUUUUACUGCAAUAGGAAAGAAGCUGGGCCCAAAACCCCCGAAAACAAAGGAAGAAGUUAAAGAUAAUACAAAAUAAUAGUAUUGGAAAGAGGAAGCGUAAUGGGUGGCCCAACAGUGAAUGCACAAUUGUUCGUGGAUCUAGUCGGAAGUGAACGCUUCCCUGCUCGCCAAGGCAAGAGAAAACGUUACCCUAGGGGCCAGGAGGAAAUUAUUACUCCUAUGAAAACUAGGAGAUUAGUCAAUUCAUAUAAUAUUAACAAUUUUCUUCCUCGAUGGUCUGAUAAGUUAUGGAACCCUUUUUCUUGGGUUAAACGUGUGACUUAUACUACUUUUAGUUUAGUGUAAACCCGUCUGACAAAUUAUGUUGUUAGACUUUUAAAUGAAAAUUAUGAGACAUGUUUUUAGAUGAUGAUUGAUAGUUUGAACAAAAAAAAAAAAAAAAAACUAUUACAUUAAAAAGAUUUUAAAAUUUUUGUUCUACAACUUUAUUUUUGGUCUGAUAGUGUACAUCUGAAAUUUUGUGUUCGAUUUUCUCGCUCUAAUUCACUCGUAUCAAAAGAAGGACAUCCCUAACCGUAAAUAAAAGAUAAAAUAAAAGAGCUGCUCAACUGAUACUUUGUAUUUCUUCUUGGAUUGGAUCAUUGAAGACGGAGGUAGAGCAGUCUUGUUUGUGAGGGACCAUGAAAGAGUUACUGGGGCUUGCAUCUUCUGUGCAGUUUUUACUGUCACCCUCAGCGUGGGAAUGGCUGCUGCUUUCAACUUCUCCCUUUUGGUUUGAGACUUGGACUUGGUCUUGGGGUUGCUUGUUAACCUUCAUCCUAUGUUUAAUUAAUCAAGUGGAACAAGGGUGAAAUAAGUAAUUAAGCAUCAUAAAAAAAAAAGAUAAAAUGAGAAAAAUUCAGGUGUAAAUGAGGAUAUUUUCUAUCUCUAUUUGUCACUCAUCGUUUGAAUAAUGAGAUACAAAGACAAGAUUAUAUCCCCAUUUACAUAUCAGAAUCUUGUCAAGAAAAAUUUGGGUAUAACUAGGGAUCUAUUUCGUAUUUAUCUCACUUAUGAUAUUUAUGUUUAGUAGUUGAAUGCAUAGACGUAAAUAUAUUCUUAGUUACGUGUAAGAAUCUCGUCAGACAUACGUCAUCGAAGUAAAAAUUUUUGAAUGUAAUCAGAGCUAUUUUAGUCUCUGUCUCACUCAUCACACAUGAAUGGUGAGAGACAAAGACAAAAAUAUACUCCCGGUUACAUGUCAGAAUCUCACACGAUUUACUUCAAUAAAAAAAACUUGAUAAAUAAAUUAAAAAAAGUGUAUAACACUCUUACCUUCGCCUAACCUUUAUCUGCACCAGAUAGAGCUUAAACUGAACAUCGUCCAGGAAUUGGAAAUAUGCAUAUCUCCAUGUCCUCUUGAGAAGCAAAGGGCAGCAGAAUCCCAAGAACCCUACAACGAAACCGAGCACAACGGAUAACCCAAUCCAUAGACUUUCGUCGUCCAAAUCCUGGCUUUUCUUAUUCUCUCCAUCAUUCCCAUUACUUGACAAGCACUUCGGAAGUGGGGGGCCGCAAAGUUUUGGGUUCCCUUCGAAUGCAGAGGCGUUGAAGCUUUGUAGCUGCGUGCCGGUCGGUAUUGAUCCUUCAAGAUUAUUGUACGAGACAUUGAAAGAAUUCAAGAAACUAAGGCUUGCCAAUGACAGUGGGAUCUUUCCGGAAAAAUGGUUCAUGGAAAGGUCUAAUUCCUCCAAGUUCUUGAGGUUGGAUAUUUGCUCUGGGAUUUCGCCCAAAAAGUUGUUCAUGUUGAGAUCCAGCUUUUGUAUCAGCUGCAGCUGGCCUAUCUCAAUGGGAAUUCUCCCACUAAUGCUGUUGUUCUUCAAGUCGAUCACGCGAGGAAAGUAAGACAACUUGUACUGCAUAAAUGUUCUGUUGGUUGAGGUGUAGAUAGGCAGUUCGAGAACAUCAUCGUCUGCUUGACGAGAAGUUCCUUCGGAUAACAACAUGGGAAGUGUACAGAGUUCCCUUGGAAAUUCACCCGAAAUUCGAUUGGCUCCCAAUCCUAAAACAAAGAGCCUUGGAAGAGCCCCCAGCCAACUAGGAAUCGACCCAGUGAUUCUGUUAAAAUUCAGAAUCAAGAUCCCUAGCUUCUUGAGCUUCGAUAACCAUUGAGGUAUUUCGCCGUUGAGCUGACAGUUACUCAAAUCUAGCAUUUGAAGAUUUUGGAACCCGUCGAAAUUAGCCAUUGCUUCAUCACUUGGAAUUUUCUCUCCAUAAAAAGUUGUCGAAAGGAUGAGUACCUUGAGACUUUUGCAUCGCAUUAGUAUCCUCAUUGCCCCCGUGAUGUUUGUCAAUCGGCUGUAGCUGAGGGAGAGGAAGGACAAGGAUUUCAGUGAAAGAAUCUCGGGUUGUAUCUGUCCCUCUAGAUUGUUUUUGCUCACUCGAAUUGCUUUCGGGGACUUGCAUGAGUAAAGGGUUGUUGGCAAGAAACCGGUGAAGUUGUUAUGGCCAAGAUCAAGUAUUGUUAGUUUAGUAAGAUUGGAGAAAUUAAGGGUGGAGAUGUUUCCUUCAAAAAGGUUGAUUCCGAGAUUCAGUUUGAUAAGGUUUGUGCAGUUCAUCAAGGAUGGGGGCAGAGAGCCUUUUAGACUGUUAAAUUGAAGGAACAUGUGUUGUAAUUUGGACAGCUUACCAAUGUUUACAGGGAGAAAACCGCUCAAUCCGUUGGACUGGAGGUCAAGGAAUGCAAGGUUGGUGAGGUUGACAAUUCUUUUGCUUAUGGCACCUUGUAGCGAAUUGCGAGGCAACGCAAUUUCUUGAAGUGUGGUAGCAUUGUAGAUGUCAUCUGGAAGUAGUCCCGAGAGGUUGUUGUAACCAGCUCGAAACACCUGUAGUUUGGAACACGCACCUAGUCCGCGAGAAAUAUUGCCACUGAAUCCAUUGAGGGAGAAAUCGAAUAGUCUAAUUGAGGGAGACAAAUGAAGACAAAUGGAGGACGGGAUGGACCCCGAGAAGCUGUUGUUCGUGACGUUGAAACUAGUCAUAUUCGAAGCAUGUCCGAAGAAUAAGGACGGAAUUUCUCCAUGGAAGUGAUUGCUGGACAAAUCAACAAUCUGUACAUUACUUGGAAGCUGAGAAAGUGAGAGCUCUCCAGAGAGAAGGUUAUAGCUCAAAUCGAGGAUCUCAAGGCGAUUCAAGGACAAGAAGAAUCUGGCUUCGAGUGAACCAUAAAGUGAGUUGUGGGAGAGAUUGAGGUGUGUGAGAUGGGUGAGAUUUCCAAGUGAUGUGGGAGAAAUAAUACCCCCAUUGAGGCCUUUGGAUGGUAACUGCAAUCGCGUGAUCCAAAGGUCCUGAUUACAAGUGAUGCCUUCCCACUGGCAACAAUCAACGGAAUCAGUAGUCCAGUUCAAUGGAGGAGAAGACAGAGAGCGAGAGAAGGUGGUGAGAGCGCUGCGUUCGCUUGGAUCGCAAGCAUCAUUCGUAGAUAUAAUGGAAUUGAAUAUGAGGAAGAAGAGGAAGAAGAGGAAGCCAUGAGAGAUUGAAUGAUCCAUCUUAGGUUAAGAUUCUCACAGGUUUGUUUAUAUAUAUAUAUAAUACGCAUAUAGACGUAAACAUACAGUGGUUCGUUUGGAUGUGUUUUUAAGAUGACUGAAAGUGAUUUUAGUGAAAAUAUUUUUAGAACAAAUCCUUAGUAAAAAUGCAAGUAAAUUCUAGAAAAACACUUAAAGUGUUUUUGGAAUCUAAAAAUAUUUUCUCUAAAAACGUUUUCAGUCAUUUUAAAAGUACAUUCAAACGAGCCAUAAGUCAAAUGUGCACCAUUUUGUGCAGUAUAUACAUCUUUUGGAAGCCAUGACAGUUACAUAUGAACAUUGUUAACUUGCAACUUGCAAGCUUUUCAAUGGAUCAAUAUAUAAUAUUUGUCUGCAAUUUCUCAAUAUCCUCGAGGGAAGAGAUCAUCUUCGAAUCAUUUCCUCCUAAUCUAUCAAAUCAGAGGAUCUGGACAAUUGAAAUUUGAUCUAACGACUACAAAUGGUCCCUCCUAAUCUACCAAAUCAGAGGAUCAUGACUAUUGAAAUUUGAUCUAACGGCUACAAAUAAGGGCCCACUUUAAAAUGACUUUUCCUAAUUUAGUGGAUUAAAAAUAAAGGAUCCGAAGAGGAUCUCUUUCCAUCUUCAAGGUAAAGAUUCUUUUAUGUGUUAAUCUAUGGAUUUGAAGAGAUUUGGUUUCGUUUUAUUUUGACUUUAGUAGUAAACAACAAACAAAAGACUUCAAAGAGUCCCACUUACAGGGAAUUAAAUAAUUUUGCAUGUUGAUUAAAUUAAGAAAGGGAAGAAUGUAAUUAGGUAAUGGUUUGAAUUCUUGUGCUCAUUGUCUGAAUUUCUCAGUCUUUGCUUUAUAGAGAUUUGAGUGAUAUGGGACGUCACUAACAAUGGAGGGUCUAAUCAUGGGUUGGCAGCAACGUAAUAGAAGGUUUACGGAUCAGGAUCAUCUCCUGAGCUAAGGGUGUGAGAAUCUUCCUGAGCAAGCUUAUCAGAUCGUUGAAAUUUUAUCUAACGGUUACAAAUAGGAGGCCCCUCUAAAAGUUAUAAUAAUUGUAACAGUUGGAUAAAAUUUCAACAGCCCAAUAGGCUUGCUUAGGUAGUUCCUUACCCUUAGCUCAGGAGAUGAUCCUAAUCCGAAGGUUUACACUGACUUUUCGCUCGUGCUUUUAAAAGUGCUUUGAGUAUGAAGUAGAAGCACUUUAAUCACUUUGACAAUUUUUAGAUGCAAUCAAGUUAAGGAAAUUCAACUAAAUAGGAUAGUUGUAUGGUUAAAUAUAGAGACUUUGGAUGAGGUCCUAAACUAUGAAUAUUUUUUUACUGAAACCUUGUUGGUUUUCAAUUUUUGAUCGAAGUCCCUGAAAUUAAUGUGAUAAUUUUUUUAUCGAAGUUCCUGAAAUUAAUGUGAUAAUUUAUUUCUAUGUAUGUUACUAUAUUUUUUAAAUUAAAAAUUGAAAUUUAUAGUUGUUUAUAUUAAUGAGAUUUUAAAUAAAAAAAUCAUAAUUUGUGGGAUUAAAAAUAUUAGAAUAUAAAUAUAUUAUUGUGUGUGUGUAUAUAUACACAUAGGUACAUUCUUCAAAAUCACAAAAAAAAAAAAAAAAAAACAGAAAGAUACUAUUAGAAUAUAAAUAUACUAUUUAGUGAAUUUUUCACGACUAUAUUUUUUUCUUUGUCUAGACUUUGAAAUUACAAAUAUAUAAUAAUCAAAAUGGAGAAUGCCUUGAAACUGCACCGACAUCACAUGCCACUUAAUAAGUUUGAUUUUUCUUCUCUUAUCAGUUAUCAGAAUGGACUCAAUGGUUGACUUAAGUCACGAUCAAGGUAAACUAAUGGAGCAUUUUGUUUAUCUUUUUUGCUGGGUAAGAUGCUUUAUAAUAUGUUACAGUUACACUCAUGCAGUGUAGGAAAAACGGUAGUAUCUAUUGUGAAUAAAUUUCAUGUUAAUGGGAAGAGGGGCUUUGUAUGAUUUUAUUUAUAAGUAAGUUGGGCUACUCUCAGUAUUGCCACUUGAUUUUAUGGUAGAAUCUCAACUUCUUCAUGAUAUCAGAGCAAGUUGUCUCACAUGUGAAGUCAAACGGUCACACGCGCUCUACGUCAUCCCGUUGUGUUGUCCACUUGUUAGGCUUGAAAAUUCGUCAUACAUGAGGAGACGUGUUGAGAAUAAGUCUCAUAUUGAUGAAAGAAGUGACCUUGCAUGAUGUAACCUCAACUUCGUCAGUACCUCGAGACAUCAUCAAAUGUAAACCAAGACAUUUGUUUGCCAAAAAAUUUAACAGAAGAAAUUGUUACAUUGUAAAAGCAACAUGUUUCUUCCAGAAUGUGCCAUGCUACGUACGUUCAGGGGCAUAUUUAUAUAGGGACCGGGGUGGUCCCAGGACCUCCGAACAUCGAAGAAACGCUUAUGAAGAACCUCAGAGGACCACCCUAAACCCUAAGCGAAGCUCUAUGAAGGACUUGAUAGGAUAAAUUAUAGUGAAUUAUUAGGAUAACAUAGUAGAUAUAAGAGCCACCAUUCCCUGGGUUUUAUUCGCCGAAAAGCUUGAGUUGCAGAAUCGACAAAAUGAAGAAGAAGGGUUGUGCUUUUGCACCCUGCUUUUUUAUGUUGUCGUUUUGCAUUAUUUCUAUCCCUUUUUUCUAAUUUGGACCCACCAUCUUCUAUUUAAUAUAUUUUUCUGCCCCAAUUUUCCGUUCGCCCUUUUUUUCUGUAAAAGGAUCCUCGUCGGAUCAUUUUCCUAAGAAUUCGGAAAAUUUUGUAAUCGUGUGGUCAAUUUCCGUUAUGUACUAUUUAUAUUUAAUUUUAAAUUUUAAUUAAUUUAUGACUGCAUAAUAUAUGAUAAACGAACACAAUUACGAGAUUCCUCGAAUCCCUGGGAAAAGGAUGUGGCGAGGAUCCUUUUUCCUUUUUUCUAUCCCUUGUAGAAGUAUUGAAUGCUAAAUAUGUUUUUAACCUUUUAAAUUACUAGUAUGACUUCACCUCUUAAUUAUUAAUAUCUCAAAAGAAAGAACAUCUUUCAAGUUAAGAGUAUGUUAGAUCCCACAUCCUUCAGGGGAGUGGAUCAUCUAUGCCUUAAAUAUACAUGCCCACCUCUAUAUAGCACGAGGCCUUUUGGGAGCUCACUGGCUUCGGGUUCCAUAGGAACUCCAAAGUUAAGUGAGAUGGUGCGAGAGCAAUCCCAGGAUGGGUGACCUAUUGAGAAGUUCUCAUGUGAGUUCUCAGAAACAAAACCGUGAGACCAUGGUCAGGGUCCAAAGUAGACAAUAUUGUGCUACGGCAGAGUCGGGACUGGGAUAUGACAGAAUGGUAUCAGAGCCACUCUGCCGUUCGGUGCAAGUGUGCCGACGAGGACGUUGGGUCCCUAAGGGGGGUGGAUUGUUAUAUCCCAGAGCAAUCCCAGGAUGGGUGACCCACUGGGAAGUUCUCGUGUGAGUUCUCAGAAACAAAACCAUGAGGACGUGAUCGGGGCCAAAAACGGACAAUAUCGUGCUAUGGUGGAGGCGCGGGGCCCAUGAUGUGGUGGAGCCUAGGUCGGAAUGUGACAAUUUGGUAUCAGAGCCACUUUGCCAUUCGGUGCAAGUGUGCCGACAAGGACGUCGGGCCCCUAAGGGGGGUGGAUUGUUAGAUCCCACAUCGCCUAGAGGAGUGGAUCCUCUAUGUCUUAAAUGUACAUGCCCACCUCCAUAUAGCACGAGGCCUUUUGGGAGCUCACUGGCUUCGGGUUCCAUAGGAACUCCGAAGUUAAGCGAGAUCGCGCAAGAGCAAUCCCAAGAUGGGUAACAAUAUCGUGUUACGGCGGAGGCGCUGUGUACAAUAUCGUGCUACGAUGGAGGCGCUGAGUACGUUAACAAGAUAAUUGCAAUUUAAACUUCACUGUUUGAUAAAAAAUAAAAAAAAGGUGAACCAUUUUCUUUUGCGUAUUUCCAGAUUGUUUUCAUGUUUCCAGCAGUGGCCAAUAUGCAGGAUUAAGGUGCCACUGCAACCCAUUUCCUGAACAGCCUUUUCUUGCGAAAGUUAAAGCUCUGCAAUUUUCAGCUUCUGCUCUUGUUGGGAUUCGUUCAACAACUCCGGCUUUCAAGUUUCAACCCAUUCAAACUAGAAGACGCGAAAACCCAACUUACACUAGGUUUUGAAUUUUUGAUGAGUGGUAUCAAAUCGAAUCAGGACCCUUCUCUUAAUUUCAAUUUUGUGGUUUUUUUUUGUUUUUUUGUUGAAAAUACAACUUCAUUAAUGAAAUAAAAUAUUAGAAUUUAUGAUAGAUAGUUGAUUUUGAAAUUCAAAAGUCUAAAGUCCAAAUAAAAACAAAACCCUCCAUAAACAGAGUAAGACAUAGUUGAUUUUGAAAUUGGAACCUCAUCUUUUUUCAGUCAUGAGGAGCUACACCUACACCAAUAAGGAUUGACACCAUGUUGAUUGGGCUUCAGCACUUUUGACUAUGACUCAAAUGCACUUCCAUAAUUCACACUUGGAACAAAACGUGUUCUGCUCUGAUGUUUGCAAUCUCAAAUGGAGCAAAGUAAUCAAUUGAAUUAAAUUAUUACUUUGUCCAUUUGCCUAAACUUUAAGUCCUCCUUACUCUUCAGCUUGUCAAUUAAACAAGAAAUUAGCCCUCGAACAAAAAAAUAAAAAAGAAGAAAUAAUUGUGGUGGGCCACAUUCGUGAGAUGGGUUCAACGUAUUAUAUUAGGACAAGUUCCCAAACUUCUUUGUGAGCAUGUUGGGAGUUUUGUGACUGUUGGAUUUCAUAAAAUUGAUGGUGGAUUAUUUCUAUUAAUCAUUUGUAUUAAUAAUGAUUAAUAUAGUGAUUUAAUAUAAGAGAGAUUGAUUUCGAGGCUAGACACAACAAGACGGUCACGAUCCAAGAACGUAUCAGUGAGUGGACCUUUAGGUUCAACCUAUACACGAGAUAUAUGAUUUUCGAAAGGGUUUUUAUGAAAGGGGAUUAUAUUCGCACACACAUUAAAUUAUAUUUUCCAAAUCUUUUUAUUUUUUUAAUAUUUUUUGACACACCACUAACACUUAAUAGAAAAUAUUAAAAAAUUAAAAGGGUAUGAGAAAAGUAAUUUUGGGGUGUGUUAAUAUAAUAUCUCUUUUAUGAAAUAUCGUGUUAUCAUGUCAAUGUUUUACUUAGCGAACGCAAAUAUUUUAUAUAUUGAAGACGUUAUGAUUUAUGUGUUUUGUGAACAUUAUUAUGGCAUGAUCAUACAUUUUUAUUAUCUCAUCAUGUAUGUUAAACUGAUGUCUAUAGUACUGUCUGGGAUCAUGACCAACUUCACGUGUAUGUUCACAUUGCACGUUGGAUUUAUGUAGUUCCAGCCUGUACUAUUUGCAUUUAGCUUUCAAGACUAAAGUGUGAUGUGCCUUGCACCAACUUCACGUAAUCACGUGUAUUUGUACUUGAGUGUAGAUUUAUUCACCCAUCUUGUUCAUGUUAGAGUGUCCUCCCUUGCAUGAGCUCGUUGGUCUGCAUUUUUUAUGAGAAUAUUAUAUUAUACUUGUUAUAUUUGAGAUUUAUCGUGAUAUAAAUGUAUUAUUCAAUUUCGCUUUUAACGAGAAUCGAAUUUAAAACAUAUCACAUUAUGUGAAUAGUAAUAUACUAUUGGAGAAAUAAAUAACAACAGUGUAAGUUCAAGUCAUCUGAUUCGAUAUUAUAUGGUUGUAUAAGUUCAAGUCACCUUGAAUCCACUGUGUAAGCACUUGAGUUAAAAUACCAAGUGAGAAGUUAUAUGGUUGUAAGGCAAAAUAAUGCCAGGUGUUGUAAUCCUAGCAACUAGCUAGAUGAAAGGCUGAGAUUGCUUUGUAAUGAGAAAGAAUCCACCUUGGAUUCUAACGGUUAGUUAAGCACCGAAUGAGUGAGUUUUUGUAGAGAGAGAAGCAAUUGAAUAUGCUCAGCAAUAUUCUGUAGAGAGUAACAAACCAUUUUUGAAAAUUCUUCUUUGUUCAUCCUUCACUCUUUGUUCUUCGAUUGCUAAUCUCAUAACCAGAAUUUAAAUCAAAUAACAACAUGUUUAUAUAUAAUACGCAUAUAGACAUAAACACAUAGGUCAAAUGUGCACCAUUUUGUGCAGUAUAUACAUCUUCUGGAAGCCAUGACAGUUACAUAUGAACAUUUUUAAGUUGCAACUUGCAAGCUUGUCAAUGUAUCAAUAUAUAAUAUUUGUCUGCAAUUUCCAAAUAUCUUCAAGGUCGCGUAAAGAUUCUUUUAUGCAUUAGUCUAUGGAUUUAAAGAGGUUUGUUUUCGUUUGAUUUGACUUUAGUAGUAAACAACAAACAAAAGACUUCAAAGAGUCACUUACAGGGAAUUAAAUAAUUUGCGUUGAUUAUAUUUUCCUUGAAAUAUGGGUUGGUUUGACUUCUUGCAAAUGACUUCAAGGUGCCCAAAUGCAUUUAGUUUACAAUUUUUUUUUUCUUUUUGGAUGCAAGCAAGACUCAAAUUUAGGACUUUGAGUGCAACAGUAAAUAUUUUUAAUUACUUAAGCUACAAACUCUUUGUAAGAUUAGAUUUUAAAAAAAGUAAGUAAAGAGUGGAAAAAAAUGACUUUCUUUAACGCUACAUAAAAGUAAGGAAAAAUGAAUUUCAAUUCAGUUUAAUUUUUUCCAUUUUUGUCUUAAGAAAGGAGAAGAGCGAGAAUCAAAGUUUUUCUGCAAGAGCAAGUAAAGUGCCCUACAACUAAUAUAAGAUGGUCAACUACUUGUAUAUCAAGUAGAAACUUCAGAUAUCACUUCAACAUCUGGUUAUUUUUCGAAGUGUUUGAAAAUGAUUUCUAAUGCGAAUUUUCAUUUUUUAUGUAUGCCCUCUCGUUUCUUUUUGAUCCACAGUUCUUAUUAAUAUUUGUAAGAAAAGGCAACCAUUUAUUCAACGGAGAAUUCUAAAUAGUUAUAAGAUAGAUUACGGAAAACUUGAUCACCAAGAAUGCUUAAAUUCUUGACAAAUUAAACGGCAGCCUGCAAGUGAAUUUCCAAGUGACUAUUUCGGUAUUCUAUCCUGACGAAAUUCGAAGACAUUUGCGUAUGAAUUUAGUUAGGAAAGUUGGAUGCAUGUUUAACCCUACAACGUUAAUUCCCCUUCUGUUUUACUCAGUUGUUAGAUUGUUUGUAUGCAGCAGCAAUGUGGUUAAUAAGUCCUUUAUUUCUCACAGAAAUAUUACAUUGAUCAACAUAUGAAGCGAUCUUUAACAUCAGAGAGGAACUGGAAAUACGCAUAUCGCCAUGACGUGAUCAAAGCUAAAGAGCCACAAACUCCCCAAAAUCCUACAAUGAAACCAAGAGCCACUGAAAUAUAAAACCAUGGAAUUUCAUUCCCAUUGCCAUGCACAUCUUCCAUGUUCUUAGUUGCAUUAUCACUUGUGUUCUGCUGGCAUUUGUUUGGAAGCGGGGAACCGCAAAGUCCUGGGUUGCCCUCAAAGGCAGUGGCAUCGAAGCCUUGGAUCUGAGUGCCUAACGGUACUUGUCCUUGGAGGUUAUUGUAUGCAACACUAAGUGAAGCCAAGAAAUGAAGAUUUGAUAGUGAAGCUGGGAUUCCGCCCGACAGAUGGUUUCUUGAGAGGUCUAAUCUCUCCAAGUUUGUGAGGUUAGAUACCUGGUCCGGAAUGCUGCCAACGAUGUUGUUGACGCUGAGAUCCAGCUCGUGAAGGUUUUGCAACUGGCCUAUCUCAACGGGAAUAUUGCCACUUAGACUGUUAUUCCGGAUGUAAAUUGCUCGCGGCAAGUUGGACACAUAGUUGUACUGCAGAGCUGUGACAGAUGCAUUUGUUCGCUGCGUGUUGAUAGGUAGCUCGACAUCACCACUAUCUCUUUGAGAGGCAGGCUUCUCGGAUACAAGAGCUUGUAGUGAGAAAAGCUCAUUUGGAAGUCCCCCCGAAAGAGAGUUGUUGUUCAAGCUUAUGAAGAAAAGACUGGGAAGACUUCCCAACCAAUGAGGUAUUGAGCCUGUGAGUCUGUUGGAAGACAAAUCAAGGGCUUCGAGUUUCUUGAGCUUUGACAUCCACACCGGAAUAUGACCUUUAAGUUGGCAAUCCGAUAAGCCAAAAAGGCGGAGAUUUUGAAACCCAGAACCAAUCAUAGCAUCACCAUCCGGCAGUUCUUCACCUAUAAAAUUAUUUGGAAGCAAGACCACCCUGAGACUUUCGAAACGCAUCAAUAUAUGCAGAGCGCCAGUGACAUUGGUAAGUCUGUUGCUACCAAGUGCGAGGAAGGAUAGGUAUUUCAAUGAAACAAUCUCGGGUUGUAUUUGUCCCUCUAGAUAAUUACCGCUCAGGCGAACUGCUUUCAGAAACUUGCAUGAGUAAAGGCUUUUUGGCAUGACACCGGAGAAGUAAUUGCUCCCAAGAUUAAGCUUGAUAAGUUGAUUGAGUUUUGAAAAAUCUAGCUCCGAGAUAUUUCCAUCUAAAUGGUUGGAUUCAAGAUUGAGUUCGAUAAGGUUUGUGCAAUUCAUCAAAGAUGGGGGCAGAGGGCCUUCAAGAUUGUUGAAUUGAAGGAGCAUGAGUUUUAAUUUGGAGAGCUUCCCGAUAUGGAGAGGAAGUGCACCACUCAAAUGAUUAAAGUAAAUCUCUAGGAUUGUGAGGCUUGUGAGAUUGACAACGUUGUUACUAAUGUGACCGAAAAGCUGAUUGGAAGGUAACGAAAUUUCGUGAAGCGCUUGAGCUUUGAAGAGAUCACUAGGAAGAGUCCCAGAAAGAGUAUUAAAGCCCGCGCGAAAGAUUUCCAAUUUCAAACAGUUUCCUAGUCCGAGAGGAAUUGAGCCAUUGAAAUCGUUGUGGGAGAAAUCCAAGACUCUGACCGAAGAGGAACGAAGACAAAUGGAGGAAGGUAAUUUGCCAGUAAAAUGAUUUUUACUGACAUUCAAGCUGCUCAAACUCCAGGCAUGCUGGAGGAAUGAAGAUGGAAUUGUUCCAUUGAAUUGAUUGUUCGACAAAUCCACUAUUUGAAUGUAACUAGAUGAUAGAAACAAUGGUACUUCUCCGGAGAGAAGGUUAUAGCUCAAAUCAAGGAUUUCGACGCGACUCAAGGACAACAGUAGUCCAACAUCAAGAGGACCGGAAAGCAGGUUGUGGGAGAGAUUGAGGUGCGAAAGAUGUGUGAGGUUUCCAAGAGAGCAAGAAACGCCUCCUUGGAGCUGUUUAGAGGGCAACAAAACAUGUGUUACCCUACCAUUGGCAUCACAGGCGAUGCCUUCCCAGCGACAACAAUCACUGGAAGACCAAUUUAAACGAGAAGACAUAUUGAAAGAUGACAAAAGAGAGUUGUGAUCUGCCUUGUUGCAAGCAUGGUUUGUAGAAAUGAAAGCAGAGAACACAAAAAACAGGAAGAGGACUUCACAAGGCAUUAUAUGACUAGGUUCCGGCAUGGCGUUUUUCGCUACGGCUGUACCGGAGUUAUAUUGCUCACGUCGUUUCGGGGGUAUAUAUACACUCCUUUGUUUGAACCGAAGGAGGUAGAAAUUUUUGUAUUCUUGUGCUCAGUGUUUGAAUUUCUCAGUCUUUGCUAAAUAGAGACUUGAGUGAAAUGGGACGUCACUAACAAUGGAGGGUCUAAUCAUGGGGUGGCAGCGACGUAAUAGAAUGUCUUCAUUGACUUUUCGCUUGUCUGUUAUUGACUUUUCGCUUGUGCUUUUGGAAGAGCUAAAAACAUUUUUGUCUUCAAACAUGGUUGUUUGAUAAAAAUUUUAAAAGCCCUUGGAGUCGUCGAUGCACUUUUAAUCACUUUGACAAUUUUUUUUAUGCAAUCAAGUUAAGGAAAUUCAAUUAAAUAGGUGAGUUGUGUAGUUAAGUAUAAGAAGUAGAAGUGAGAGGCUCGUUAAUGAAUUAAUUUAGUGAAUUGUCCAUGAUUUAACCGCGUGUAAGUACUCUUACAUGAAAGAGAAUGUUACUUGCUCGAUUUUUCCUUUUUAAAAUUUAAAUAUCGUUCUUAUAAAAUGAAAUUAUAUAGUUACGCGUAAUAAUUACAUAAUAUAGCAUGGCGUAGACCUAUCAUCCGUCGACUUAUUUUACGACUAUAUUUUUUUCUUUGUCUAGACUAUGAAAUAUCAAAUCUAUAAUAAUAAAUAUGGAGAAUUUGUUUAUCUUUUUUGCUGGGUAAGAUGCUUUAUAAUAUGUUACAAUUACACUAAUGCAGAGUAGGAAAAACGGCAGUAUGUGUUGAGAGAAUAGUCUCACAUUGAUGGGAGGAAGACCUUGUAUGGACUUAUAAAUAAAUUGGGUUAUUCUUCAUAUUUUCAAUUGGUUUUAUGGAGGGACCUUAACUUCUUCAUGGUAUCAGAGCCGAUUGUCCUACGUGUGAAGUUAAACGGUUACAUGCGCUUCACGUCAUCCCAUUGUGUUGUUCAUGUGUUAGGGUUGAAAAUUCACCAUACGUGAGAAGCGCGUUGAGAAUAAGUUCUACAUUGAUGAGAGGAGAGACAUGGUAGAACCUCAACUUCUUUAGUACCUCGAGACAACAAAUUGUAAAUCAAGACAUUUGUUUGCCAAAAAAAUUUAACAGAAGAAACUGUUACGCGUUGUUGCAGCAACAUGUUUCUUCCAGAAUGUGCCAUGCUACAUACGUUAACAUGAUAAUUGCAUUUAAACUUUACUGUUUGAUGAAAAAAAAUAAAAAUCGUGAACCGUUUUCUUUUACGUUUUCCCAGAUUUCCAGAUUGUUUUCAAGUUUCCAGUAGUGGCCAAUUUGCAGGAUUAAGGUGCUACUGCCACCCAUUUCUUGAACCGCCUUUUCUUGCGAAAGUUGGAGCUCUGCAAUUUUCGGCUUCUGCUCUUGUUGGGAUUCGUUCAACAACUUCUGGCUUUCAACCCAUGCAAACUAGAAGAAGAGAAAACCCAACUCACACUAGAGAUUUUUUUUUUUUUUUAACUUUAGAAAAAUUAUAUAAACCCUUCUCAAUGAUUCUGUAUAUACACAGAUUUUGAAUUUUGAUGAGUAGUCUCAAAUUCAAUAGAGUAGAUAGAUUAAGACAUAAUAAAGUAGAUAGACUUAAAGCAAAAUGAGAACUACAUCCCAAGACAUAAAUGGAGGCCUACACAUCCUUAGGCAUGUCGGCAACAAUAAAAAACAACAGGAAAAAACUUUAAUCACAUGCAGCAAAAAGCAAGCCUCCACCGCCGCCCACAUCAUCCGCGAAGGUAGAGAUUGCCCCAAACUGAAAAGAGCAUCAGAACCAAAACUAGAUUUGAGAGUGUUGCGCACAAUCAAUUCAUCAAGAAACAACAACAUCCACAAUCACACCUGAAAGGAAUUCAAAAAGCAUAGAGGAGGAGGGGGAGGGCAGAGGGGAUGUGUAAAACACCCUUGUUCCAACAUGAAUCGUUCCACACUUAUCCCAUUUUUUUGGCAAGUUAGUUCAGCAAAGGGCUAUGAGAGAUAGGGUCCAAUAUUCCAAGAUCUAAUUCAUGAUUAUGGGUUGGAAAAAAUGAGGGGUAGCAAGGGAGAGGUAGGAAAGAAGGGUGCGGUGUGGAUGGUUUUGCUUUGCUUUGCUUUCUUAGAGAAAGAGAGAGAGAGAGAUGUUGGACGUUUAAAACACUGCAUGCAUAGAAUCACAUACAUACAAUGACAUGCAUACGUAAACAUGAUAGACUUACCUGAAGAAGAAGAGCUCGACAUUGCUGCAAUGAAGAACAUAAAGGUCUUCUACACUCAGCAGCCAAUAAUCCAGCUAGAAUAGGGUUUGCUCAAAAGGGACGGCGCUGUGAGUGCAAGGACCUCCCUAUAUAUAUUCGUACUCCCUUGAUAUCAGGUCUAUUAACUGAUACCCCGGAUAUUCCAAACAAUUUAGGGUUUCGAUAUAGUCCUAGUACGUUUUGAACUCUUGUCAAGUCUUGAUAGGGUUACGUGAAUAUAAUUGCAUUAGGACUCUUAAUCUUAACCAAGUAGGAUAGGAAUUUCCUCAACAUGAUAACUCAUACACUGAGAUAUCAGUUUGUCGAGAACAAGAACUCAUUCUCCUUGACACUCACUUCUUACAAGAGAGAGAUAGAGGGAGAGAGCGCUGAUUGAGGUAGUAAUUAGCAGAAAAGUAAAUAUUUUUAUGGUUAAACAUGUGAUUUAUAACUUAUCUUUAAUAGUUAUUUUGCACCAGAGAAUUUCUGGCUCAAUUCGUACACAAAAAUAUUUAUUCGUCUUCUGGGCAGGGAGCUUUAAGUGGAACACUAAAGAGAGAGGUGGUUUGGAAGUUGUCAGGGAUCAUGAAAGAUUUACCUUUGCUUGCAUAUUCUGAACAAUUUGUACUCUCAGCUCCACUAUCCAGUUUCCUGUUAAGAACAAGGACAAGAAUUAAACAUCACAAACUAAAUCGAAAAAGAAAACGCAAAAAGAGUCAUACCUUCUUCCAAGCCUUCUCCACAUUAGAUAGAGCUUGAAUUGAACAUUGUCCAGGAAUUGGAAAUAUACAUUUCUCCACGUCCUCUUGAGAAGCAAAGGGCAACAGAAUCCCAAGAACCCUACAACAAAACCAAGCGCAAAGGAUAACCCAACCCAUAGAAUUUGAUCCUUAUCAUCGUCCAAAUCCUGGUUGUUCUCAUUCUGAUCUGCAUCAUUGCCAUCACUUGACAAGUACUGAUUUGGAAGUAGGGUGCCACAAAGUUUUGGAUUCCCUUCGAAUGCAGAGGCAUUGAAGCCUUGGAGCUGAGUGCCGGCUGGUAUUGAUCCCUCAAGAUUAUUGUAUGUAACAGUAAACGUAGACAAGAAAUGGAGACUUGAUAGUGAUGAUGGGAUUUCACCUAAUAGACGGUUACUGUUGAGUUCUAAUCUCUCCAACUCUGUGAGGUUGGAUAUUUGGUCUGGAAUGUUGUCGGAGAAGUUGUUGAUGCUUAGAUCCAGUUGUUGAAGAAAUUGCAAUUGGCCAAUCUCAAAGGGUAUGCUGCCACUUAAAUUCUUGUUCCCGAGGGAGGUUACUCUUGGCAUGUUGGCCACAUACUUGUACUGUGAAGACAACAUAGUUGCAUUAUUACUGCGUUUGAAGUGGAUGGGCAACUCAAGUGAACAAUGUCCUGUUUGAUUCGCAGCCUUUUGUGAUACUAACGCUUGUAGUCUGCAAGGCUCCCUUGGAAAUUCACCCAAAAUCAAGUUGUCACUCAACAACAAAAAGAAAAGACUCGGAAGAGUCCCCAGCCAACCAGUUAUUGUGCCAGUAGUGAGUCUGUUAAAAGACAAAUCCAGGACUUCCAGUUUCCUGAACUUUAAAAUCCAUAGAGGUAUUUGACCUGUCAUAUGAUAGCUAUAUAAAUUGAAAACACAGAUUUUGUAACAUGAAAUCAACAGUAAUAUCCCCAUCUGGAAUUUCUCCACCUUGAAAAUUUUCUGAAAGAAGGAGCACCCUGAGACUUUUGAAACCUGUAAAUAUCUUCAUUGCCCCCGUGACAUUGGUGAGUCUGUUAUGAACAAGCGAGGGGAAGGUCAAGUUUUUCAAUUGAAGAAUCUCAGAUUGGAUUUGUCCCUCAAAAUCAUUUGUAGCCAGUCGAAGUGCUUUGAGGGACUUGCAUGAGUAAAGGUUUAUUGGCAAGAUACUAGUGAGUGCAUUAUUUAUAAAAUCUAGUUUACUAGGUUGAGUAAGUUUAGAGAAAUCGAGUGCAGUGAUAUUCCCACUAAAAUGGUUGAAUCCCAGGUUUAUUUCAACAAGGUUUGUGCAAUUCGUCAAAGAUGGGGGCAGAGGCCUUCUAGAUUGUUGUAAUGAAGGUGCAUGAGCUUUAAUUUGGAGAGCUUCCACCGAUGGGUCCGAAAAGGCUAUUAGUAGAUAAUGAAAUUUCUUGAAGGGCCUGAGCAUUGUAGAUAUCAGCAGGAAGGAACCCUGAGAGAGUGUUGUUGCGAGCAUGAAAGUCCUCCAAUUUGGAACAGUUUUCCUAGUCCUAGAGGAAUUGAACCACUGAAAAUAUUGCAGGAGAAAUCCAAGACUCAAAGCGAACAGGAAAGAAAACAAAUAGAGGAUGGUAUUUGGCUAGUAAAAUGAUUAUUGCUGACAUUCAAACUGCUCAAAUUCCAGGCAUGCUGGAGGAAUGAAGAUGGAAUUGUUACAUUAAACUGAUUGCUGGACAAAUCCACCAUCCGGAUAUAACUUGAUGAUAGAGGUAAUGGUAGUUUUCGAAAUACAUGGUUUUUGCUUAAAUCAAGGAUGUGAAGGCGAGUCAAGGACAAAAAAAUUCCAGCCUCAAGAGGACCGGAGGGCAUAUUGUGGGAGAGGUUGAGAUGCGAAAGAUGUGUGAGGUUUCCAAGAGAGUAAGAAAUGCAUCCCUUGAUUCAUUUGGAGGGCAACAACAAAUGAGUUACCCUACCAAACAUAUCACAAGUGAUGCCCUCCCGUCGGCAACAAUCGUUGGAAGACUAGUUUAAACUAGAAGAAUCAAUAUCAAAUGAAGACCGAAGAGAGUGUUGAUCAAUUUUUCGGCAUGCAGGGGUUGUAGCAAUGCAACUUGAGAUGAAAAAUAUGAAGAGGAAGCCAUAAGAAAUUGGAAGUGCCAUGUUUGUAUAUUUGAUUGCUCACAAAUUUGUUAUAUGUAACACACUGCAUUGUUUUGUUUAGACUAAAAGGGCUAGAAACAACAUCGAAACAUGAAUCAUGCUUCUUGGCUGAUGUAUGCAUGUGAAGAAUAUAAAGCACACGAGUUUUACUAAGUACUUUUAUAUAUGAUUCCUGUUGCAGGUGAACAACGAUUUUAGCCUUUAGGUUCCAUGCUAAAACUAAUUGGAUCGGGCUAACUAGCUCUGGCUCCUACUAAGCCCAUAAAAGAAUAUUCCUUAACUUUCUGAUGUGGUACAAGUCAUCACAUCCUCAUUGUUGGUCCUGUUGUAAUGCAAGGUUCGAUCAUAGUCGGUCACUCCCCGCAUCGCCAGUUUGAUUUUGUAAUUGGUGUUCGUGGCAGGAAUUUCUGUCGGGGAUGUUUCCUGGCCGACGAGCACACAGCUCCCCUGGAGGUUGGCGCCGGUUGAGGGCUGCUGUCGGGCUUCUGCUUCGUUGUCGGGCGUUGUUGGGCAAGUCUCGUCGGGCAAGACUCUUCGGGCAAGGCUGAAAGAGAAGGACAGCGUUAACUUUGAGAGGUGCCUUUGUGGGGCCUUAGGUGUAGGUCUUGAGGCUCACAAUCAAGGUUAACAUUUAGGUGCUCAGGCGUGCCACUACCAUCUUUAGCAUGACAGAUGUAAAAUGGUCGUUGUGUUUUAGUUGUAUAUAUGUAUGUAUCCAAGAAACCGUGUUAGUUAUAACAGGUGCCUUUGUGGGGCCUUAGGUGUAGGCCUUGAGGCUUCCCAUAAAUAACUAAACCAGUGCUCGAACACAUCAUAUUUUAUUCUUGCGAUUAUAGGAAUUUUCUAACUAUUAUACUUCUGAUUACCCGAAUCCAAGAAGUAGAAUGAACCCAAAUAGGUGCCUUUGUGGGGCCUUAGGUGUAGGCCUUGAGGCUUCCCAUCAGAGUUCAUUCUUAUACUUAGACUCUUUAGAUCGUAGAACGGAAUGAAUCCAAAUGGAUGCCUUUGUGGGGCCUUAGGUGUAGGCCUUGAGGCUUUCCAUCAGAAUCCAUUCCAUGCUCAAGCGUUCUAUGGAAAUCAUAAUAUAAUAGAAAGAAAACUAGAGGAUAGGUCGAUUACUUGCGCCCCAAGUAACUCCGGACUUCUCGUUUAUCAAGGACUGUCGUGGAUGGGUUAAGUCCACAUAAAGUUCUUUUUUAUGCCUUGAGGCCAAGGACUUUUCAUUGAUCAGAUUUACAUGCCCGAGGGUUUAGGACUUGGAUCUGGUUUGAACACUUAAGAUAUAUUCAAAUCGGAUUCAAGUAUUGAGAAAGCCUUUUAAUAGUCACAAUGCUUGAAAUAACUUGUAUAUGACUGGAUGUAUACAACAUAUUGAAAAGACAAAAACAAAGCAAAGAAGGUCGGGCAAGGUUAAACCUUAUCGAGUAAGGCUGCUCCUCUUGUAGGUUCCUAUCUUUACAGUUUUGUCAAAGGUCUGAGAGCUUUGGAGGGAUAGAGAAAGAUUACAGAAGAUGAAUCGAUACUACAACAAGGUUGAACAGGGUAGCAGAGUUAUUACAAAAGUUUAAAGGGAGAGUUAUCCCGUGAGGGAUGAAGGCUUGUCCCGAGAGGGAUAAAGGCUGAUUACAUCUUUGUUUUGAAGGCAAAUCUGACUUGAGCAGAGUUUGUGUUUGCAUUUGUUUGUUUGAUUGAGUGUGUGCAUUUGUUUGUUUGAUUGAGUGUUCUUAAUCCUGGAUUUCCUUUCUUCUUAUAUAGACAACUCGACUGGGCCUUCGGUAGCAGCAGCUUUGCCCGAAUGCGGUUUGAGGGUGAUGACUCAUCAGCUAUUUUACAUGUAAUGCCACCAUAAAGUACUUUAUGGGCUGUGUAGCUGACUAGUCUACACCACUUGGCCUUUGGGUAGGUAAGCAAGUGGUCUUCAUGAGCUGCACCAAGUCAGAAAAGGCCUUCUCCUGCCUUCUGGGCUUCAACUAGGCUUCGACUAUUUUCCCUUUCGAGCCUCCUUUUGGGCCAAUUCCCUCCUUGAGCCUAAAGUUCAAGUUUUGAUCCAAACAGUGCCCCCUUCAAUUAAUAUUUAGCCUGAUCCCCUGUACUCACAGCAAGAAAUCCUUCUCUAAUUUGUCGCCCUCGUCAUCUUCCUUGGUAUUCCGUUCCCGAACUCCUUCAAUUGACUGCGGAAUCUAGCCAAACCCAAUCCCCUUACGAAUCUGGCGAAGGAAUCGCCACUCUUUGUCGUCUACUCAAUGGGCUGCAUCGCCCUCGGGCAGGUCUGCUCCAAGCUUUUCUUUGAGGUGCAUGAGGUACAAUCAUUGGGUCCCGCCUGGAUUUCUCGGGUCCCUUCAGUGGUGGAGAGCAACAUGCCUAGAGAUAACUGGUUUUCUCCAAAUCUCUAUUCGGCUAGGUCGGGCAUUUCUUCCUCCAAAUGGUCAUCAUAUCGUUGGGGUUUUCCUCUGAUGAAUGAUCUUGCCUGGGCUCAAUGGAUUGAUGAUUUAGAGCCUACUUUUAAGAGGAAAUGGAUGAAUAAUGGUAUUUAUGAGUUAAUCAUGCUUUCGAAGACCACGAUUAUUCCCAAGCCCGAGCUGCUUGCUUCUGCCCUCAUUUUCUGGAAUUCGGGCACAAAUACCUUUGAUUUCCGUAUGGGCCCCAUGUCUCCCACCAUUCUUGACAUGGCUCAAGUUUUUGGCUUAAGGCCCUCGGGCAGGAUAUUGGACGUUACUUAAGAAUGGGUUCCGUCCUCUGCCACUGGAAGCUCAAGUUCAUCCGCUACCUUCCUCUCUUUGAAUUAUAACUCGGCCACUUUCAAGCGUUACGGGACUUCCUUCAAAGGAUUCAUCCCCUUCGUAAAUGAGAAUUUUGGGGUGGGCUCACCUCGGGUAGAUAAAGAUCAGGAGCACAUGUAUUUCCUCUUAUACUGGCUCAACAAGCACAUCUUCCCCAACAAAUCCAAAGGGGUGAGGGUUGAAUGGAUCCCCUUGGUAGAAGCUCUUCACAACUUUGAUGACGUAGCUACAGGUCCAUUCCUUCUUUCCCACCUUUAUCAUCUUCUUUUUUAAAUGACUCAAGGUGAGCCAUUUGAGACCAAUUUGAAUGGACCAAUAUGGAUGAUACAAACUUGGCUUCAAUGGUAUUUCCCAGAAUUUCGGGCUACUAAUCUGGAGUUCCCUGAGGGUGUGGCCCCUGCCCGAAUCCUGGCUGAAGCUGCCCCUAUAGAUCAUUCCACUUUUGCCUGCUUCUAUUUCUUCAGAGUUUGCAGGACUCGGUCAGAUUUAGAAUGGGGUGCGCCGGUCCUAAGAAGAUAUCCUUGGUUUUCUGACCAAGCCUUUCAAGAUGCCCCUGGCGAGGAUGCUACCCCCUUUUGCAGGGAGAAAUUUAUUAGUUGCAUUCAAUCAAGAGACCUGGCCUGGAGAGUUCGGGGCAAUAGAUAUGACCGAGGCCUGGAAGUGUACCAUCCUAACUUCUGCAGCAGGCAGUUAGGAUUUAGACAUGCCAUUCCUGUCCCGUUCUUCGACUCUGUCCAUUGUGGCACUUCCUUCCGGUUACCAACUCCAUCUGAAGUGACAUUCCGAGCUGCCCGACGAAGUCUUGACGUAAUGAGUCAAGCAGCCCGAAAGUCCAUUAUCCUCAAUUUUGAGUGCACCUCGCUCUUCUCUUCCUGGUGGGAAGACAAAUGGACUAAGAAGUAUGGAGGAGAUUUGAAAGAAACUCACGAUCGCCUUUUCAACCAACUUUCACUUAAGUCAUAUCCUGGCUCGGGCGAACUUGAAAAUUGGAAGGAGAUGAUUCAAGAAAAGAAUCGGUUACUUCUGAUAGGUACUUCUCUUUCAAUUUGAUUUUGCUUCCUUUCUGAAGUCCUUCUAUCCUUACUUUUGCUGAAUUUUGCAGCUCCAGCGGAUGUUGAAUCGGAAGCUAUUGAAUCUGAGGAUGAUUCUGCUGAUGCUGCAAUUCUUCAUGGAGCUGCCGCAGAAGCUGGGAGACGAGAAGCUGGGGAGGGUGCAGAUGUCUCAGAAUCUUUUGGGGAUUCAGGAGCUGAGGAAACACCUGAAGCUCUUAUCAAAGCAACUAAGAGAAAGAAAGCGGCGGUGACUAAGACUUCAGAUCCUGAUCCAGUACCUCUACCCAAAACCACCCGACCAAUUCUUACUAGAAAAAGUAAGAGAGCAAGAACUACCGCUCCUCCUAAGUUAUCAGCCCCAUCAGUUCCUGAGGCCGGCAGAAAGAAACAACAAUCCUCAAGUGAGUUCCUGUUUUUUCUUUAAACUGUUACCUUUCACACUUAUCUGAUUGUCUCCUUCAUCGGUGAACAGGACCCCAAGCAUCUAAAAGACCAAUCCUUGCUUCUAAGGAGGAACCACUAAGAGCUGCAAUGCUCAAAAAGGCCGAAGAUCUGCGAAAUACUACCCUCAGAGAACUUGAGGUAUGAUUUAUAUAUUUCUCUUUAGGCCUCUUCUUGCUCUCAUAUAACUCUAAAUCUGAUUAUUUGACUUAGGCCGCAAGAAAGGAAAAGCUUUCUUCGCCCGAAGCCUCUCCACAAUUUGCUCGAGAGACAAGCCUACCUCAUUCUCAAGUCGACCCUGCAGAGGUGAUUUUUCUUAUCUUCUAAUUCUUGGAUAAUUUUCUAACUUCUGGACCUAAUGUCUGAAUAUUGUUAGGCUGGAACAUCCGCUUCCUUGCCUUGCCAUGGCCCUCCUCUGAGGUCCAUGACCUCUUCUACCGCUCUGGAUGCAACCCCUUCUUCUCAAUUUGAUCCAUCCACAGGAGUUAUGCUGCACUUCGUGGAUGAAGAUAGUAACUUGGUGAGUCGCAUAUUCCAUGUUGAACUUCUGCGCAUUGCUUCCCAACUAACUUUUACUUAUGUUCUCCACAGCCUUCUCCAGUAUAUGAGCCACCCCCUUCAAUAGUGGUUCCAGAUGAUGAACCCAUAGUCCCUGAGAUCCCUGUAGCUUCAGAGGUAGCAAUCUUGCGGGUAUUUGCUUGCCCGACAGUUGAUAAACCUCUUUCUCCUCCUCUGGACCAAACUCAGGUAUGAGAGUAUUCUCUCCUUGUUCUUUCUCUUAGGCUCUAUUUACUGACAAUCACUGCUAUCUCUGGGUACCUCUAGGGCACUGGUACAGGUUCAGGUGCAGCUCAUCACUCUCCUACUGGUGGUGCUGGUGAUGCUGGUGGUGAUGACCCUUUCCGCCAAUCAAGAAUCAGUCAUUUUCCUGGUGAAACCCCAGGGCUGAGCCAGGUAUAUUUCAUCUCUCCAAAUCUUCUUUUGCCUCAAACUAUAUUCAAAUUGUCUUGACCUGGUCUUUUGGCUUUCUAUAGCAAGCUUCAAGAGAAACUUCUCCCCCCCAUCUGGUCCGCAAAUCAAAGCGCUCCCAUCCUCACUCUUCUGGAGGUACUGCGAUUCCUCCUUCUGGUAUUGAGCAGGUCGGGCAGGCAGAAAUUGCCCUCUCAAUGGACAUUCCUUCAUUAGAGGAAGCUACAGUGCAGGAUUCUCCUUCUUUCACACCUCCACGCCCUGCUAAGUUGCCCAGACUGUUCGAAGCACUUGGACGGCUUGAGACGCGGUUGAAAUCCUCAAGACAAUCUUCAGCUACCCCAAUUUCUUCAGAGCAACAGCGAGUCCUUCAGGAAUGGGCAAGGAAGGACUUCACCGCUUCAUUAAGCCUUAGGGCUCUUUGUGAUUUGGAGAAGAUCAUAACUGAGUCCUUCAGAACUGGUCGGCUAUCAAAGCCUCAACAUGAUUCUUUUCUAUCCUUCUUUGAGAACUUGAGAGCCCUUAGGGAACAAUACCAAAGAGCGGACAGACAGGCUAAUCGGGCAAAAUGCUUCAUGGAGAAAGAAUCAAACACCUCUGCUCAAAUUGAUCAGAGGAUGGCAGAAAGCUUACAGGCAAAAGAAAGGGUCAGAGUUGUCACUUCUAAAAUCCAAGAGCUGGAGGAACAAUUGGUUGCUCUUAAAGCAGAACAAGCAACUCUUCUAGAUACCCUUGAAAAUCAAAUUGAGGGAGUGGAGAGUCAAAUUCGGAGUUAGAGCAUGCCCGCUCUCAACUUGUGAAUAUCCAUACUGUUUUGGCCGAACCCUGUAGGAUAUUUACCAUCAUGCAAACAUAUCAUUCCCGAAUAAUCACCCUAUGUGAAGAUGUAAAUUUUUUAGAAUAGGAUGAUUUGUAACUCUUCUUUUAUUGGAAUGAACAUGUAAUUUGCUUCCUGCUCUGCUCUUUGGUACUGCUGGUAUUGACUUUGGGCAAUUCUUUGCCCCCCUUUAAUCCCCUUUCUUAUUUUGCCCUGGCUAACACCAAUCUCAGGACCUGAUCUUGGUCCCUUGAUCCCCUUCAUGACACUUUAUUCAUGCAAAGGUGCUGGGACAACCUGGGCCAUUCUCUUUCCCUGCAAUACCAAAUGGUGACCCCGCCUCUUGUAAAAUGAGGUUAAUCAUAUUGAUAGGAGCCUCAGGGAAAGGGUUAGUAUCCACCAUCAUACUGGCUUGGGGCGAAUCAAGCAACAUCUUUCCCUUCACUAUAAGAUCUUGUAUCCAGUCCCUAAACUGGACACAAUUAACUAUGGAAUGGUUGAAGGUGUAGUGCACCUUGCAAUACUUUUUCCCCCUGAGUUCUUCCGGCUUAGGCAUUUUCUUAGUAUUGUCGGGCAAGAUUACCCUCGCCCGUACCAAUUCUUCAUAGAUCUCAGGUGUCUUGGAUAGGUCGAACGAAUAACUCUGGUACUUGGGGACAAAACCACCAUCGUUCAUUACAACCUUCUAAUCCUUGACAGGCUGGACUAGCCCCUUUACCGUUAAUAGUUUGAAAGGUGUGGUCAUCUCAGCGGCACACACGUCUACAUCCUCUUCGUCACGGCCACCCUCAUGCUCUGGCCUGGCUUCUCCCACUUCCACCCGAUGAAUUGCAGCUUUAUUUUUGUAGAAAGGGGGAGUUUUGGAAGUAUGCUUUACUUGUUGCUCUUCUUGUAACAGCCUCUCAUACUUCGUGGCAGCAAUCACCAAUUCUUGCAGUUCAUUAAACUGUGCAUCAUAAAAUCUUUUCCUUAAUGGUAAUUUCAAAGCCCUUUGAACAAUCGAUAUGAGCUGGGCUUGGUUGACGGGGAAUUGGCAUCUCAUCCUUGUUCUCCUGAACCUCAUCAUGAAGUCUUCAGUAGAUUCAUGAUCAUAUUGUUUGACUUCAACAAGGUCAUUGAUAGUCAAUUCUGGCUCUAUUCUGUAAAAUUGUUCAUGGAAAGCCAUAUCCAUUUGUCCCCAGUUGGCGAUAGAGUUAGGGGGCAACAAAGAGUACCACUGAGAUGCUAAUCCUGCCAAUGAAUUCCCAAACAACCUCAACUUGUAGUUUGGGUUGUCCUCAUAUGCUACGUAAUGAUUGGAAAAUUUGAAAAUGUGGUCUCUGGAGGACACGCUGCUAUAUUCACCUGUGAAUAUUGAAAACGCGGGCAUCUUGAAGUUGAGAGGGAAUGGAUUUAACUCGUCAACAUAUUCAGGAUAAGGCUUUUGAUAAGUAAUCAUGAAUACUGGACGAGCUCGUGGUUGAGCAUUUUGAGCCACCGUCAUUCUCAACUCAGCUAGUUCCUCCCUCAGCUGCUGAGUAGCUAGAGUAUCAUUAUGACCAAAGAGAGCAGGUUCGAUCUUUGGACUCCGGUCAUUGCCCGCACUUGCUUCCCUCCUUGGUUCGGGCUUCCUCCAACUAGCUCAUCCACCCUUAUUCACCAACGGGGGUGGCCGAUAAGGUGGGGGUUUAUCUGCAGUACUGGAGCCUUCCUUUCCGCUAGUUUCGCCCAUCAUAGCUGGCAUCCCGUACCUCGUUCUGUCUUGCUCGCUUGGCUUCCUAUUAUUGAAUGAUAAUACUAGGAAGCUGGGAAGCUCUCUCUCCAGAACUGGCUCUAUCACUGGUUGACUCCCUUCAGGAGCUACCUUUUUCUUUCCCCUAUCUUUUUCUUCUUCUAACAGUGGGAAUAAAGAAAAGAUUGGUUCAUUUCUCAUAACUACUUGGCUCAUCCCGCUCCCCUGAACCCCUUUUGGAGUAGAGAAUUCCAAAUCCAGUCUUCUCUGGAGAUUCCCUGUUAGUGUACAGAGUCUGCUUACUUCUCCCUUGGUUUCCAAGGAGAUUCUUUCCAUGCUCUUCAGCACUUGGAUCAUCGUAGCCUGUAGCUCUUCAUUAGUUCCCUUUCCUUCUGAUCUCUCAGAUGCAGUUGGGCUCUCUAGGACCACUUGUCCUGAUGGGGAGGAAGGGUUUUCUGAUUGAUCUGCCAUUUGUGAAGACUUUCUUUCGGAUUGUUUUUGCCAAGUUUUCUGUCUUUUCUUUUUGGACAUACAAGAUCAAGAAGCUUGGAGUCCCACUGGGCGUGCCAAAACUAUGUUCGUGGCAGGAAUUUCCGUCGGGGAUGUUUCCUGGCCGACGAGCACACAGCUCCCCUGGAGGUUGGCGCCGGUUGAGGGCUGCUGUCGGGCUUCUGCUUCGUUGUCGGGCGUUGUCGGGCAAGUCUCGUCGGGCAAGACUCUUCGGGCAAGACUUUUCGGGCAAGGUUGAAAGAGAAGGACAACGUUAACUUUGAGAGGUGCCUUUGUGGGGCUUUAGGUGUAGGCCUUGAGGCUCACAAUCAAGGUUAACAUUUAGGUGCUCAGGCGUGCCACUGCCAUCUUUAGCAUGGCAGAUGUAAAAUGGUCGUCGUGCUUUAGUUGUAUAUAUGUAUGUAUCCAAGAAACCGUGUUAGUUAUAACAGGUGCCUUUGUGGGGCCUUAGGUGUAGGCCUUGAGGCUUCCCAUAAAUAACUAAACCAGUGCUCGAACACAUCAUAUUUUAUUCUUGCGAUUAUAGGAGUUUUCUAACUAUUAUAGUUCUGAUUACCCGAAUCCAAGAAGUAGAAUGAACCCAAAUAGGUGCCUUUGUGGGGCCUUAGGUGUAGGCCUUGAGGCUUCCCAUCAGAGUUCAUUCUUAUACUUAGACUCUUUAGAUCGUAGAACGGAAUGAAUCCAAAUGGAUGCCUUUGUGGGGCCUUAGGUGUAGGCCUUGAGGCUUUCCAUCAGAAUCCAUUCCAUGCUCAAGCGUUCUAUGGAAAUCAUAAUAUAAUAGAAAUAAAACUAGAUGAUAGGUCGAUUACUUGCGCCCCAAGUAACUCCGGACUUCUCGUUUAUCAAGGACUGUCGUAGAUGGGUUAAGUCCACAUAAAGUUCUUUUUUAUGCCUUGAGGUCAAUGACUUUUCAUUGAUCAGAUUUACAUGCCCGAGGGUUUAGGACUUGGAUCUGGUUUGAACACUUAAGAUAUAUUCAAAUCGGAUUCAAGUAUUGAGAAAGCCUUUUAAUAGUCACAAUGCUUGAAAUAACUUGUAUAUGACUGGAUGUAUACAACAUAUUGAAAAGACAAAAACAAAGCAAAGAAGGUCGGGCAAGGUUAAACCUUAUCGAGUAAGGCUGCUCCUCUUGUAGGUUCCUAUCUUUGCAGUUUUGUCAAGGGUCUGAGAGCUUUGGAGGGAUAGAGAGAGAUUACAGAAGAUGAAUCGAUACUACAACAAGGUUGAACAAGGUAGCAGAGCUAUUACAAAAGUUUGAAGGGAGAGUUAUCCCGUGAGGGAUGAAGACUUGUCCCGAGAGGGAUGAAGGCUGAUUACAGCUUUGUUUUGAAGGCAAAUCUAACUUGAGCAGAGUUUGUGCUUGCAUUUAUUUGUUUGAUUGAGUGUUUGCAUUUGUUUGUUUGAUUGAGUGUUCUUAAUCCUGGAUUUCCUUUCUUCUUAUAUAGACAACUCGACUGGGCCUUCGGUAGCAGCAGCUUUGCCCGAAUGCGGUUUGAGGGUGAUGACUCAUCAGCUAUUUUACAUGUAAUGCCACCAUAAAGUACUUUAUGGGCUGUGUAGCUGACCAGUCUACACCACUUGGCCUUUGGGUAGGUAAGCAAGUGGUCUUCAUGAGCUGCACCAAGUCAGAAAAUGCCUUCUCCUGCCUUCUGGGCUUCGACUGGGCUUCAGCUAUUUUCCCUUUCGGGCCUCCUUUUGGGCCAAUUCCCUCCUUGAGCCCAAAGUUCAAGUUUUGAUCCAAACAAUUAGAACCUCAUAUUUCUUUCAGUCAUGAGGAGCUACACGACUAAGGACUAACAUCAUGUUGGUUGGGCUUCAGACUUGUCACCAAUACAAGGUUUUCCACAAGAACUUUGGACUCUGACUCAAAAGUACUUUCAUAGUCUGUACUUAGAACAAAACGUGUUAUGCACUGAUGUUUACAAUUUUAAAUGAAACAAAUUAAUUAAUUGAUUAAAUUAUUGGUUUGUCCAUUUGCCUAAAAUUUAUGUCCUCUUUAGCUUGUCAAUUUAGCAAGAAAUUAAAAGAACAAAAAUGCCCUCGAACGAGAAAAUAGAAACGAAGAAAUAAUUAUGGGGUGGUGGGUAGGGCUGGAUCGGUAUGGGAUCCCGUCCCAAAAAUGGGAUCUCGAAUCCCAAACCGAUCCUUUUUGGGAUGAAAAUCCGAAUCCCGAUCCCAAACCAAAAUUUCGGUAUUCCCGAAUUUCGGGAUUCCUGAAAUAUUUUCGGGAUUUCGGUAUGGUUUCGGUUUUCAAUUCAAACAAAAUUUGGCUUCCUGUUAAUGGAAGAAGCUGAUAAAUUAAAUUAAAUUCAAUUCAAACCUGCAGAUCGAGCAUGCAAAGCAGAAAAGAUUCAAACCUGCAUAUUGAGCAUGCAAAGCAUAAAGAAAUCGAACAUGCAAAGGAGAAAUUGACCAUGGAAAUCCAGAAAUCCAAAUCAACCAAAUCCACAUAAAAUUAAUCCAGAAAUCCCCAGAAAAUUAAUCAAGAAAUCCAAAUCCAAAUCAAAACAAUCAAAAGCUCUAAAUCGUAAAUUCCUAAUUUAUAAAUCCUCAUUCGAACCCUAAUUCAGAGAAAGCUUCAGAGAGGAAAGAGAAAGAUAUGGGUCGAGCUUCGAAGAUUUGAGAGAGCUUUCGGCAGUAGCUCUUUGCUCUCUCUCUGCUUCUCAACACGAAGAGUGCUGCUCUCUGCCUCAAGAGUCAAAACCAAACUCAAGAGCUUUCGGCAGUAGCUCCUUCCUCUCUCUUCUCCUCUCUGCUUCUCAACAUGAAAAGUGAUGUUCUCUGCCCCAUCUCUUCUCCUCUCUGCUUCUCAACAUGAAGAGUGAUGUUCUUUGCCCCAUGAGUGAUGCUCUCUGCCUCAAGUGUUGCUCUCUGCGCCUUCUGUUAGUGGGAGCCAAAAGGCUCCUGCUUUUGAGGUGGGAAGUCUGAACCGAAACCCAAAGCCAAUUUGUGCCUUUCCCAAAUUUUUAAUAAUAUUUUGGUGCCUUCUGUGAGCCAAUUUGUGCAUUUCCUAAUUUUUUAAUAAUAUUUUGGUGCCUUC